UAAAUCAGUUAUGUUGAAGGGGCAUGGCACCUCUUAGUCAACACAGAGAGAAAAGGAGACCUCAGCCAUCAAACUGUUCCAGCUAUCUCCAGAAUCUCAUUUUAUGGCAACACUGCCUAGGGCUAGGUAGAUGUUUUAAUUUAUUUAUAGAGGGGCAGAGAUAUGUCAUUACUGGUCUAACAUUUAGUUGAAACGGUUACAUUUAAUGCCACAACAAUUUUGGCAUGGGGAAAAUGGAGUGGAUCAAAGCAGAGUGUUUGCAUGUGAUAGUCUGUAUGCUACGUGUGUGACAAAUCUGACUAGUGGUUUCUUACUUUCGUUCUGUUUCUGAAUUGAUUUAAUUAUGGUAUUCACUGCUUGUCGUGUUUUUCUUCCAAUCAGGCUUUCUGUCUCACUCAGCCCGUAAUGUAAGAUUACUUUCUCACCCCCAUCUCUUGUCGUCUCUCACGAAUGUAUUUAUUCUGUUACCUUUUGACUAGUGAUUGGUUUGGGAUUAACAGGGCGAGUUUGGGCGCGCAGUCUUGGUUAAUAAUUAGACUGGAACAGACUUACACACACACACACACAUCCUGUCAGAUGGAGGUCCCUCCAUCUGACAGGAUGUGAGACAGUGAAAGAGUGAUUGAGAGUCAGGAGAGCUUUUGUAUUCUCUUCCAACAAGGGGAAUUAGGUGCUCCCCGCAGCCUGGCAACCAUCACCUCUCUGUGGGCGUAACAACAACCCGCUGCCCCUAGAGUAACAGGGCCCUGUGGAGCUGCUGAGAGAUGCAGUGUCUCUACAGUGUCCACUGAUGUGAAACAGAGGCGUUUCUCUGUUUCGUUGAAAACAGCCCAGCAGUAAACUGCGCACACACACACACGGCCCCGCACAGCAGCUUUCAUCACCUAAUACAGAGCUUCCCUGUCGAUAUGAGCACAGAGGGUAUUGAGACAGAUGUUCUGGGGAGCAGUCACAGCCCGUCUGAACCAAACACUGGGGCUGGAACUGAACAGGACUACUGCCUCUACCUGCACAGCUGCUGUCUCUCGGUAGGCUGUUCGGGAAGGAGACAGCUGAGUACUUCCUCAACCCAUCUCCUGUCCACACUUCCUCACCCACCUGGUACACACUACUGAUGAAGAACAUGGGAGAUGAGGUGAGUGCUGAGGCCCUGUGGGACACCUUGAGAGAACACUCCACCAGACGACUCAGAGACCUUGAGGAGGAGGAGGAAUCUGAGUCUCUUGAGUUGGUGAAAGCCUCUGUGAACCAGGAUGUACAGAGAGAGCGGGGUCACCUACAGCACCUGGCAGGGGUCAGGUAUAUGUUCAACCUGGCCCAGCUCCACCAGGCUUAUUCUGCCCAUGUUCUCUCCCUCAACCAUCCUGCUCUGCUCCUAGAUGACCUGGAGGAGCUUGAGGGACCACAUAGUUACCUACCUCUCUCACAAAUAAACAGGUGAAGGGAAACCUAGCAUUAUUAAAUAAGCAUUAGCUUAUACUAUUGGUAAUAUAACUACUAUAACUACUUACAAAAGCCUUGCGAAUUGAAAAUCAUUUAAAUCAGAUGUAGAGACCAAUCUUGAGUCAGAGUAUCAUGUAUCUUUUUAUAUUUGUGUUAUUAAAUGUGCUUAUGCUGUGUUAUUCAUAUUGUAACAAAAAUCCAUUUGUGUCAGUGAAAUUUGAAUUUGUGUGUAAUGCUGGGACAAAUCUUCCACAAGAGGGCAGUCCCAGAUUAAGAGGAUGAAUGUUUAGUUGAAUUUAUGCUGGUAGUUUUCACUUUAAUAUGACAAGCUGUACUUUCAAAAUUGCAUUUCUAUAAUUUCCACUCAUAGUUUUCAACAAAUAGUAAUUAUUUUAUUUGCGAAACUGUGUAUUAUUUUGUGAGUUUGUAAUUAAAAGUGACAAGUGGCAACUGUAA
Molecule: RNA transcript, 1899 nt
Organism: Oncorhynchus tshawytscha (Chinook salmon)
Lineage: Eukaryota; Metazoa; Chordata; Actinopteri; Salmoniformes; Salmonidae
Exons: 5
Source: RefSeq, a predicted model, not a curated record